This 780-nucleotide ribosomal RNA is filed under the name uncultured bacterium. RNAcentral's name for it is "bacterial SSU rRNA". It matches the Rfam family "Bacterial small subunit ribosomal RNA", at positions 61 to 834 of the family's 1533-position model. The record is from RNAcentral.
GUCGAGGGGCAUCAGGGAUUAGCAAUAAUCCGCUGGCGACCGGCGCACGGGUGAGUAACACGUAUUCAACCUUCCGAUAACUCGGGGAUAGCCUUUCGAAAGAAAGAUUAAUACUCGAUAGUAUAUUUUCUUCGCAUGUUGAAAAUAUUAAAGAAUUUCGGUUAUCGAUGGGAAUGCGUUCCAUUAGGCAGUUGGCGGGGUAACGGCCCACCAAACCUACGAUGGAUAGGGGUUCUGAGAGGAAGGUCCCCCACAUUGGAACUGAGACACGGUCCAAACUCCUACGGGAGGCAGCAGUGAGGAAUAUUGGUCAAUGGACGCAAGUCUGAACCAGCCAAGUAGCGUGAAGGAUGACUGCCCUAUGGGUUGUAAACUUCUUUUAUAUGGGAAUAAAGUGCGCCACGUGUGGUGUUUUGUAUGUACCAUUAUGAAUAAGCAUCGGCUAACUCCGUGCCAGCAGCCGCGGUAAUACGGAGGAUGCGAGCGUUAUCCGGAUUUAUUGGGUUUAAAGGGAGCGUAGGUGGGCUGGUAAGUCAGCUGUGAAAGUUUGCGGCUCAACCGUAAAAUUGCAGUUGAUACUGUCAGUCUUGAGUACAGUAGAGGUUAGCGGAAUUCGUGGUGUAGCGGUGAAAUGCUUAGAUAUCACGAAGAACUCCAAUUGCGAAGGCAGCUGACUAGACUGUUACUGACACUGAUGCUCGAAAGUGUGGGUAUCAAACAGGAUUAGAUACCCUGGUAGUCCACACAGUAAACGAUGAAUACUCGCUGUUUGCGAUAUAC